AAUCUACCUUAGUUACAGGGAUAGCCCGAGGAAACUCGGAUUAAUACCUGAUAUUCUUUAUAUUUCGCAUGAAAUUAAAAGGAAAGGUCAGCCGAACUAAGAUGAGCUCGCGUUCUAUCAGCUAGUUGGUGAGGUAAAAGCUUACCAAGGCUACGACGGAUAGCUGGUCUGAGAGGACGAUCAGCCACACUGGGACUGAGACACGGCCCAGACUCCUACGGGAGGCUGCAGCAGGGAAUAUUGCGCAAUGAGCGAAAGCUUGACGCAGCGACACCGCGUGUGGGAUGACGGAUCUAGGUUUGUAAACCACUUUCAGGAGGGAAGAAAAUGACGGUACCUCCACAAGAAGCCCCGGCCAACUACGUGCCAGCAGCCGCGGUAAUACGUAGGGGGCGAGCGU
RNAcentral lists this ribosomal RNA (400 nucleotides) under uncultured bacterium. Its description in RNAcentral is "bacterial SSU rRNA". It matches the Rfam family "Bacterial small subunit ribosomal RNA", at positions 123 to 541 of the family's 1533-position model. The record is from RNAcentral.